AGUGAACGCUGGCGGUAGGCCUAACACAUGCAAGUCGAACGGCAGCACAGUAAGAGCUUGUUCUUACGGGUGGCGAGUGGCGGACGGGUGAGGAAUACAUCGGAAUCUACUUUUUCGUGGGGGAUAACGUAGGGAAACUUACGCUAAUACCGCAUACGACCUACGGGUGAAAGCAGGGGAUCUUCGGACCUUGCGCGAUUGAAUGAGCCGAUGUCGGAUUAGCUAGUUGGCGGGGUAAAGGCCCACCAAGGCGACGAUCCGUAGCUGGUCUGAGAGGAUGAUCAGCCACACUGGAACUGAGACACGGUCCAGACUCCUACGGGAGGCAGCAGUGGGGAAUAUUGGACAAUGGGCGCAAGCCUGAUCCAGCCAUACCGCGUGGGUGAAGAAGGCCUUCGGGUUGUAAAGCCCUUUUGUUGGGAAAGAAAAGCAGCAGGUUAAUACCCCGCUGUCCUGACGGUACCCAAAGAAUAAGCACCGGCUAACUUCGUG
This 492-nucleotide ribosomal RNA is filed under the name uncultured bacterium. RNAcentral describes it as "partial 16S ribosomal RNA". It matches the Rfam family "Bacterial small subunit ribosomal RNA", at positions 29 to 507 of the family's 1533-position model. The record is from RNAcentral.